UGGGGAAUUUUGGACAAUGGGCGAAAGCCUGAUCCAGCCAUGCCGCGUGAGUGAAGAAGGCCUUCGGGUUGUAAAGCUCUUUUAGUCGGAAAGAAAAGAUCAUAAUUAACAAUUAUGAUUCAUGACGGUACCGACAGAAAAAGCACCGGCUAACUACGUGCCAGCAGCCGCGGUAAUACGUAGGGUGCGAGCGUUAAUCGGAAUUACUGGGCGUAAAGGGUGCGCAGGCGGUUUUGUAAGUCAGAUGUGAAAUCCCCGGGCUUAACCUGGGAAUUGCGUUUGAAACUGCAAGACUAGAGUGCAGCAGAGGGGAGUGGAAUUCCAUGUGUAGCAGUGAAAUGCGUAGAGAUGUGGAAGAACACCGAUGGCGAAGGCAGCUCCCUGGGUUGACACUGACGCUCAUGCACGAAAGCGUGGGGAGCAAACA
RNAcentral lists this ribosomal RNA (427 nucleotides) under uncultured beta proteobacterium. RNAcentral describes it as "bacterial SSU rRNA". It matches the Rfam family "Bacterial small subunit ribosomal RNA", at positions 355 to 774 of the family's 1533-position model. Lineage: Bacteria; Pseudomonadati; Pseudomonadota; Betaproteobacteria. The record is from RNAcentral.